This 742-nucleotide small RNA is filed under the name Drosophila virilis. RNAcentral describes it as "GJ26745". The record is from RNAcentral. Lineage: Eukaryota; Metazoa; Arthropoda; Insecta; Diptera; Drosophilidae.
UUCCUCUGUGAAUAGAUUGAUUCUUUCUCUCAAUCCGCUAGUACUUGGUACAUCAUCAGUUUUUAUUAAAUUUGACUUGCUUUUAAAUGCUCAGCAUUAGAUUGCCUUUGCUGUAGUAUCAGCAUUUCUAACUGCCGCAAAUAAUUGCACGCACGUGGUCGAAGGCCGGUUUCUACAAUGGAAGCCGCAUCAGCUGCCGCAAAUAGUUGCACGCACGUGGUCGGAGGCCGGUUUAUACAAUGGAAGACACUCGGUUGCAGGACACUCGCUCUGGCCCAAGGCUAAGGAAUUCAAUUUGAUGAUGAAUUUCACUGAGAUCCAUUGAAACUGGCGCCGAUUAUGAGCCUGCUUUACUACAAAUGAAACAAGAUGUUCGCAUUGAUCAAGGAGUUUCUUCAAUGAGGCUCCAAUCCGCUGGACAAAGAGAUUCCAGUUAGUGUAUCUUUGACGCCAGGAAGUGCCGUGAUGCAAGUCCUACUUCAAAUCUGCAUCGAGUUGCCGGAUAUUCAUUGCACUGUUGAUCUUCGCUUUUAUGGACAAAUCCAAAGCUUUGAGUUUUGACUGCUUUUGCUGUCGAGAUGCAGCAACCGAAUCGAAGUCUUCAAAAGGUGACUUUCUGCUUUCAGUGGUUGCUGUUUACGUCCAGAGAAACUUCACAGAGAGAUGCGCUGUGAACGGACCACGAUUAUAAAAUUAAUUUAUAUAGUUUAAAAUUCUGCUGAAUAAAAAGAAUGAAACCAAA